UGUGUGUGUGUGUGUGUCUGUGUGUGUAAAUAUAUAUAUAUAUACACACACAGACACACACACACACAUU
Non-coding RNA from Pelobates cultripes (western spadefoot toad), 70 nucleotides. The record is from the annotation of a GenBank genome assembly. NCBI's taxonomy places the organism in Eukaryota, Metazoa, Chordata, Amphibia, Anura, Pelobatidae.